CUAUAGUGAGUUCUAGAGCACCGUCCCUUGAUGAAUAUUGCCCAGUAGCAAUGUCAACCCUUGCUGCUGUGCAUUAAUCAUGAGGAGAAUCACUAUUGGAGUAAUCUCAUGUAUCUGUAGCUAGUUCUGAAGGAUCUCCCCUUGAUGACCUUUGCAUUGUUGUGAUGUAAAAGUCCCUCACUGCUGUGCACUGGUCAUGAGGAGAACUACUGCAGAAUGAGAUACUAUAUUCCUGGUUCUUUUUUUACUUUUUGUUUCCGUAUUAAUAAACUUUAUAUCAUAUUCUUUUAAUAUUAAAUCGACCUCAUUGCACUCAAUGCCUCUUACCUUAAUUAUAUCCUACAU
This 345-nucleotide long non-coding RNA is filed under the name Mytilus galloprovincialis (Mediterranean mussel). The record is from RNAcentral. Lineage: Eukaryota; Metazoa; Mollusca; Bivalvia; Mytilida; Mytilidae.